UUAUUGGGCGUAAAGCGUAUACAGGUGGAAAUUUAAGUCUUUUGUGAAAGCUCGAAGCCUAACUUCGAAUAGGCAAAAGAUACUAUCUAAAAUAUUAGAAAAACUAAGUUUUUCUGAUUUUCUUGAGUAUGGUAGGGGUCAAGGGAAUUUCCAGUGGAGCGGUGAAAUGCGUAGAGAUUGGAAGGAACUCCAAAAGCGAAGGCACUUGACUGGGCCAUAACUGACACUCAAAGACGAAAGCUAGGGUAGCAAACGAG
This 257-nucleotide unclassified non-coding RNA is filed under the name uncultured cyanobacterium. RNAcentral's name for it is "contains 16S-23S intergenic spacer region". It matches the Rfam family "Bacterial small subunit ribosomal RNA", at positions 551 to 776 of the family's 1533-position model. Lineage: Bacteria; Bacillati; Cyanobacteriota. The record is from RNAcentral.